UCCUUAGAUGUUCUGGGCGGCCCGCGCACUACAAUGGCGUGUGCAGCGAGUGCCGAAGUAGAGUUUUCCGAGGUAUUCUUGCAAUGCUCGUUUUGAUGGGGAUAGACCCUUGCAACUGUUGGUUUUGAACGAGGAAUUCCUUGUAAGCAUGGUUUAUCAUCCGACGCUGAAUGCGUCCCUGCCCUUUGUACACACCGCCCGUCGCUCCUACCGAUGAGUCGUCCGGUGAAGUUCGUAGACCUCGUGAUUGCGGAUCACUGGGGGAAGCAAAAUGAACCUCGCGGUUUAGAGGAAGGAGAAGUCGUAACA
Molecule: ribosomal RNA, 309 nt
Filed under: uncultured eukaryote
Lineage: Eukaryota
Description: partial 18S ribosomal RNA
Rfam family: Eukaryotic small subunit ribosomal RNA
Source: RNAcentral